This is a long non-coding RNA of Dalotia coriaria, 1348 nucleotides long. RefSeq lists it as uncharacterized. The record is from RefSeq and is a predicted model, not a curated record. NCBI's taxonomy places the organism in Eukaryota, Metazoa, Arthropoda, Insecta, Coleoptera, Staphylinidae. The transcript is spliced from 4 exons.
UAUUGGAAAACACUACCAACAGGUUGGCACGCGGUUAAAAAACGUAAAAAACACGAUAACAACGCGUAAAUAUUUGAAAUAUUAGAAAUACUAAUACAUGUGAUAAUGUAACGAAUGUAUAAAUAUAAAGCACUUGAGUUUGUAUUGUUGUAUCACUGUUUGUUUUGUGUACAAUAAACGAAAACGCGAUUCUCGCGAGUUUUACGAAGGUAUGUGCGCGGACGACGCGACGUCGCGUACGUAUCUGACCGGUGCUGUGCUGCACUCUAGUAGGCAGCGUGCUUGGAUCACUUUUGGUCAAAAGUCUCGCGCGUGGGGAGCGAUUGAGGUGUGCGCGGCUAUGGAAGACCUGAAACACGGCGAACGUAUUCACGCUACAAAGUGGCGAGAGGAGUCAAACUUCUAGAUCUUUAAGAUAUAGGUUAGGUUAUGUUUGGAAAUGUAAAUAAAUACAAGAAGUGGUGAGAUAUGUUUUAGGACCACCCUUAAUUUAAUUCGGGCUAAAUUUCGAUAUUCUCUUGGGUAAAAUUUGGAUUUUAGAGGAUUUAACAUGAUUUCCAAUGGAUUUAUUACAACAUAUUGGGUUGGUUAGUUAGGAUGGAUGUUCGGCCCAAGUCCACAGCGGUAAAUUAGUGUCAGUGGGUGAACGAACCGCGCCAUCGACAAAACGGCCCGCCGCUGCUCUCGGGGAAGAAGGGAAGAUAUAGAUUAAUAGAGAGUGAAGAGAAAAGAGAAGCGAGCCGUGGCGGAAUGAAUGAGCCGAAUAAAGCGAUUCGUUUAGGCCCAUCGCACCUCACCUCACCUCCCCUCACUCCGCUGUUGACCGGGAAUCUAGAUUUUAGAUGAAGAUGAACACACUACUACAGAACUGCAGUGGUGGUCACGAGGGUUUUGAGAGCGUGCGAUUUACGAAUGGUCAAUGGAAGGAAUAAAUGUAAUAGCAACUAAUGUUGAUGCGGUUUAAAGAAGACACAAAAGUGGAAAUUAAUUGGUCACUUUCAUUUUAUGAUGUAUAAAGCGUGGAAAAUCAACUUUACGUUCACGUAUCUAUUGUGGAACAUAAAAGGGCGUGAGUGAAAUAAAAACCAAGGAAAAGUGAUAGCCAUCAAUGAUUAAUGGUCGCACGGUCAACCCCUUUGUGUUUUUAUUGCACCCUUUUUGAAAUAAUUAUUUAUCAAUUACUUUAAUCCAUCACAUCCAUUAAAUUUUUAAACAUUUUGUUAAAUAUAAAGUGCUGCCCUCUACAAAGUUUAAAGAUUUUUUGGUAGAUAUUUUAGGAAAUUUUUUAAUAACUGCUAAAUAAUUAUAGGAAAAUACUAAUUUCACAAUUUGUAUACAAAGUGAAUCA